AGAGUUUGAUCCUGGCUCAGGACGAACGCUGGCGGCGUGCUUAACACAUGCAAGUCGAACGCGAAAGGGGGCAACCCCCGGUAGCGUGGCAGACGGGUGAGUAACACGUGGGUAACCUACCCCGAGGUGGGGGAUAACCCUCCGAAAGGAGGGCUAAUACCGCAUGACACCUGGAGGUCCGCGGACUUCCAGAUCAAAGCUAGCCUCUGCUUGCAAGCUAGCGCCACGGGAGGGGCCCGCGCCCCAUUAGCUAGUUGGUGAGGUAACGGCUCACCAAGGCGACGAUGGGUAGCCGGCCUGAGAGGGCGAUCGGCCACACUGGAACUGAGACACGGUCCAGACUCCUACGGGAGGCAGCAGUGAGGAAUAUUGCGCAAUGGGCGAAAGCCUGACGCAGCGACGCCGCGUGGAGGACGAAGGUCUUCGGAUCGUAAACUCCUGUCGAGCGGGACGAAGCCGGGACGGUGAACAGCCGUUUCGGUUGACGGUACCGCUAAAGGAAGCCCCGGCUAACUCCGUGCCAGCAGCCGCGGUAAUACGGAGGGGGCCAGCGUUGUUCGGAAUCAUUGGGCGUAAAGGGCGCGUAGGCGGCUUUGUAAGUCCGUUGUGAAAUCCCUCGGCUCAACCGAGGAACUGCGACGGAUACUGCUUGGCUUGAGUCCCGGAGAGGGUAGCGGAAUUCCCAGUGUAGCGGUGAAAUGCGUAGAUAUUGGGAGGAACAUCGGUGGCGAAGGCGGCUACCUGGACGGGUACUGACGCUGAUGCGCGAAAGCUAGGGGAGCAAACAGGAUUAGAUACCCUGGUAGUCCUAGCUGUAAACGAUGGGUACUAGGUGUUGGGGGUAUCGACCCCCCCAGUGCCGCAGCUAACGCAAUAAGUACCCCGCCUGGGGAGUACGGCCGCAAGGUUGAAACUCAAAUGAAUUGACGG
This 930-nucleotide ribosomal RNA is filed under the name uncultured bacterium. RNAcentral describes it as "bacterial SSU rRNA". It matches the Rfam family "Bacterial small subunit ribosomal RNA", at positions 8 to 916 of the family's 1533-position model. The record is from RNAcentral.